UGGACAGAGACAGAUGUGAUGUCUACAGGUCAGUACACAACUGGACAGAGACAGAUGUGAUGUCUACAGGUCAGUACACCACUGGACAGAGACAGAUGUAAUGUCUACAGGUCAGUACACCGCUGGACAGAGAGACAGAUGUGGUGUCUACAGGUCAGUACACCACUGGACAGAGAGAGAUGUGAUGUCUACAGGUCAGUACACCACUGGACAGAGACAGAUGUGGCGUCUACAGGUCAGUACACCACUGGACAGAGAGACAGAUGUGGUGUCUACAGGUCAGUACACCACUGGACAGAGAGACAGAUGUAGUGUCUACAGGUCAGUACACCACUGGACAGAGAGACAGAUGUGGUGUCUACAGGUCAGUACACCACUUGACAGAGAGACAGAUAGAUGUGAUGUCUACAGGUCAGUACACCACUGGACAGAGACAGAUAUGAUGUCUACAGGUCAGUACACCACUGGACAGAGAGACAGAUGUGGUGUCUACAGGUCAGUACACCGCUGGACAGAGAGAGAUGUGAUGUCUACAGGUCAGUACACCACUGGACAGAGAGACAGAUGUGGUGUCUACAGGUCAGUACACCACUGGACAGAGAGAGAUGUGGUGUCUACAGGUCAGUACACCACUGGACAGAGACAGAUGUCACGUCUACAGGUCAGUACACCACUGGACAGAGAGAUGUGAUGUCUACAGGGCAGUACACCACUGGACAGAGACAGAUGUGGUGUCUACAGGUCAGUACACCACUGGACAGAGACAGAUGUGGUGUCUACAGGUCAGUACACCACUGGACAGAGAUACAUGUGGCGUCUACAGGUCAGUACACCACUGGACAGAGACAGAUGUGGUGUCUACAGGUCAGUACACCACUGGACAGAGAGACAGAUGUGGUGUCUACAGGUCAGUACACCACUGGACAGAGACAGAUGUGGUGUCUACAGGUCAGUACACCACUGGACAGAGAGAGAUGUGGUGUCUACAGGUCAGUACACCACUGGACAGAGAGAGAUGUGGUGUCUACAGGUCAGUACACCACUGGACAGAAACAGAUGUGGUGUCUACAGGUCAGUACACCACUGGACAGAGACAGAUGUGUCUACAGGUCAGUACACCACUGGACAGAGACAGAUG
RNAcentral lists this long non-coding RNA (1138 nucleotides) under Salmo trutta (river trout). Its description in RNAcentral is "lncRNA (ENSSTUG00000016719.1)". The record is from RNAcentral. Lineage: Eukaryota; Metazoa; Chordata; Actinopteri; Salmoniformes; Salmonidae.